CAAUAGCGUAUAUUAAAGUUGUUGCAGUUAAAAAGCUCGUAGUUGGAUCUGUGGCGUACGGUGUGUUCCGGGCACUUGUUGUCUGAGUAACCUGCUGUUGCCAUCCUUGGGUGGAACCUGUGUGGCAUUAGGUUGUCGUGCAGGGGAUGCCCAUCAUUUACUGUGAAAAAAUUAGAGUGUUCAAAGCAGGCUUAUGCCGUUGAAUAUAUUAGCAUGGAAUAAUGAGAUAGGACUUUUUUGCUAUUUUGUUGGUUUGCGCAAAGAGGUAAUGAUUAAUAGGGACAGUUGGGGGUAUUCGUAUUCCAUUGUCAGAGGUGAAAUUCUUGGAUUUUUGGAAGACGAACUACUGCGAAAGCAUUUACCAAGGAUGUUUUCAUUAA
RNAcentral lists this ribosomal RNA (380 nucleotides) under uncultured eukaryote. RNAcentral describes it as "partial 18S ribosomal RNA". It matches the Rfam family "Eukaryotic small subunit ribosomal RNA", at positions 592 to 976 of the family's 1831-position model. The record is from RNAcentral.